RNAcentral lists this ribosomal RNA (487 nucleotides) under uncultured bacterium. RNAcentral's name for it is "bacterial SSU rRNA". It matches the Rfam family "Bacterial small subunit ribosomal RNA", at positions 29 to 541 of the family's 1533-position model. The record is from RNAcentral.
AACGAACGCUGGCGGCAGGCUUAACACAUGCAAGUCGAACGCUCGUAGCAAUACGGGAGUGGCGGACGGGUGAGUAACGCGUGGGAACGUGCCCUGAGGUACGGAAUAACUGCGGGAAACUGCAGCUAAUACCGUAUGAGCCCGUGAGGGGAAAGAUUUAUCGGAGAAGGAUCGGCCCGCGUUGGAUUAGGUAGUUGGUGGGGUAAUGGCCUACCAAGCCGACGAUCCAUAGCUGGUUUGAGAGGAUGAUCAGCCACACUGGGACUGAGACACGGCCCAGACUCCUACGGGAGGCAGCAGUGGGGAAUCUUGCGCAAUGCGCGAAAGCGUGACGCAGCAACACCGCGUGAGGGAAGACGGCCUUAGGGUUGUAAACCUCUUUCAGAUGGGACGAAGGUGAUGCGGUGAAUAGCCGAUGUCAUUGACGGUACCGUCAGAAGAAGCUCCGGCUAACUACGUGCCAGCAGCCGCGGUAAGGAGCUGUCGU